AUGAACGCUGGCGGCGUGCCUAAUACCUGCAAGUCGCGCGCACGGACGAGAAGCUUGCUUUUCUGAUGUUAGCGGCGGACGGGUGAGUAACACGUGGAUAACCUACCUAUAAGACUGGGAUAACUUCGGGAAACCGGAGCUAAUACCGGAUAAUAUUUUGAACCGCAUGGUUCAAAAGUGAAAGACGGUCUUGCUGUCACUUAUAGAUGGAUCCGCGCUGCAUUAGCUAGUUGGUAAGGUAACGGCUUACCAAGGCAACGAUGCAUAGCCGACCUGAGAGGGUGAUCGGCCACACUGGAACUGAGACACGGUCCAGACUCCUACGGGAGGCAGCAGUAGGGAAUCUUCCGCAAUGGGCGAAAGCCUGACGGAGCAACGCCGCGUGAGUGAUGAAGGUCUUCGGAUCGUAAAACUCUGUUAUUAGGGAAGAACAUAUGUGUAAGUAACUGUGCACAUCUUGACGGUACCUAAUCAGAAAGCCACGGCUAACUACGUG
RNAcentral lists this ribosomal RNA (496 nucleotides) under uncultured bacterium. RNAcentral's name for it is "partial 16S ribosomal RNA". It matches the Rfam family "Bacterial small subunit ribosomal RNA", at positions 29 to 507 of the family's 1533-position model. The record is from RNAcentral.